CAGCACUAAAUUGAAUUACUUGGUUUUCACCAUACACAGUACAGACUACUAGUCCUAGACACCACCAUUGAGAUGUAAGCCUUGUAUGGAUGUGUAGGAGCACAACCCUUCUCUGAGUUCAUCCUCGACGUCUUGUCAAGAUAAGUUUAUUUUUCACACACUCUUUGCCCUUUUUUUGCAUGAAUGUAUAAAGUUGAAGAAGCCUGAGUAAGUUAAUUGGUAGCUUUGAAAGCAAACCAUGUCAUGUCAACGGGCGAAUGAGGAUGUGGCGUGAACAAGAAAAUGGUGAACUCAAUGAUAAAGUAACGAUCCCAUCGAAGACAAACAGAGCGUGGCGGUACAACGGGGCUAAGAAAGUGGUGAAGUACGUUGCUAUCAAUUUGAUAACAAUUGGAAAUUAGGUUCUAAUUACAAAUCCAUCAUUUUAAUAUUGCAUUAUCUAUUCAAUCAUUAUUGUGCAUUGCCUUUAUAGAUAUUCUUGUGAAAAAAACAUUGACUAUAAUUGAACGUUUCUUCAAAAUCUAUAUAUGUACUGUACUAUAGUUAUAUAUUAUGCAUUAAAGAAUGUGAA
RNAcentral lists this small RNA (571 nucleotides) under Histoplasma capsulatum. Its description in RNAcentral is "hypothetical RNA". The record is from RNAcentral. RNAcentral also lists the same sequence under 1 other name. Lineage: Eukaryota; Fungi; Ascomycota; Eurotiomycetes; Onygenales; Ajellomycetaceae.